This 253-nucleotide ribosomal RNA is filed under the name uncultured bacterium. RNAcentral describes it as "partial 16S ribosomal RNA". It matches the Rfam family "Bacterial small subunit ribosomal RNA", at positions 524 to 776 of the family's 1533-position model. The record is from RNAcentral.
GACAGAGGGUGCAAACGUUGUUCGGAAUUACUGGGCGUAAAGCGCGUGUAGGCGGCUCUGCAAGUCGGGUGUGAAAUCCCACGGCUCAACCGUGGAAGUGCAUUCGAAACUGCAGAGCUAGAGUCCUGGAGAGGAAGGUGGAAUGCUUGGUGUAGAGGUGAAAUUCGUAGAUAUCAAGCGGAACACCGGUGGCGAAGGCGGCCUUCUGGACAGUGACUGACGCUGAGACGCGAAAGCGUGGGGAGCAAACAGG